AGUAUGUCAAAAAGUUUGGCCGAAUCUCUAUAAGAACGGUCAAGAAUGAUAAUAUUGAAAUAAAAUAAAAUUAAUUGAUUAUUCUAUUACAAAUUCAAGUUUAAUGAUCAUGCUGAAAUUCAAUGAUGAGUUCACUAACUACAAAUGAAACUUAAGCCUCUCAUCAAUUGUGACAAUACAAAUUGAAAAUAAAAUUGGUCUG
Molecule: unclassified non-coding RNA, 202 nt
Filed under: Hevea brasiliensis (rubber tree)
Lineage: Eukaryota; Viridiplantae; Streptophyta; Magnoliopsida; Malpighiales; Euphorbiaceae
Source: RNAcentral